RNAcentral lists this ribosomal RNA (497 nucleotides) under uncultured bacterium. RNAcentral describes it as "partial 16S ribosomal RNA". It matches the Rfam family "Bacterial small subunit ribosomal RNA", at positions 28 to 507 of the family's 1533-position model. The record is from RNAcentral.
GAUGAACGCUGGCGGCGUGCCUAAUACAUGCAAGUAGAACGCUGAAGCUUGGUGCUUGCACCGAGCGGAUGAGUUGCGAACGGGUGAGUAACGCGUAGGUAACCUGCCUCUUAGCGGGGGAUAACUAUUGGAAACGAUAGCUAAUACCGCAUAAAAGUCGAUAUCGCAUGAUAUUGAUUUGAAAGGUGCAAAUGCAUCACUAAGAGAUGGACCUGCGUUGUAUUAGCUAGUUGGUGAGGUAACGGCUCACCAAGGCGACGAUACAUAGCCGACCUGAGAGGGUGAUCGGCCACACUGGGACUGAGACACGGCACAGACUCCUACGGGAGGCAGCAGUAGGGAAUCUUCGGCAAUGGGGGCAACCCUGACCGAGCAACGCCGCGUGAGUGAAGAAGGUUUUCGGAUCGUAAAGCUCUGUUGUAAGAGAAGAACGAGUGUGAGAGUGGAAAGUUCACACUGUGACGGUAACUGACCAGAAAGGGACGGCUAACUACGUG